Molecule: ribosomal RNA, 497 nt
Filed under: uncultured bacterium
Lineage: Bacteria
Description: partial 16S ribosomal RNA
Rfam family: Bacterial small subunit ribosomal RNA
Source: RNAcentral
GAUGAACGCUGGCGGCGUGCCUAAUACAUGCGAGUCGAGCGAACAGACGAGGAGCUUGCUCCUCUGACGUUAGCGGCGGACGGGUGAGUAACACGUGGAUAACCUACCUAUAAGACUGGGAUAACUUCGGGAAACCGGAGCUAAUACCGGAUAAUAUAUUGAACCGCAUGGUUCAAUAGUGAAAGACGGUUUUGCUGUCACUUAUAGAUGGAUCCGCGCCGCAUUAGCUAGUUGGUAAGGUAACGGCUUACCAAGGCAACGAUGCGUAGCCGACCUGAGAGGGUGAUCGGCCACACUGGAACUGAGACACGGUCCAGACUCCUACGGGAGGCAGCAGUAGGGAAUCUUCCGCAAUGGGCGAAAGCCUGACGGAGCAACGCCGCGUGAGUGAUGAAGGUCUUCGGAUCGUAAAACUCUGUUAUUAGGGAAGAACAAAUGUGUAAGUAACUAUGCACGUCUUGACGGUACCUAAUCAGAAAGCCACGGCCAACUACGUG